AUACAGAACGGUAAACUCCAGGUCAGAUACAGAACGGUAAACUCCAGGUCAGAUACAGAACGGUAAACUCCAGGUCAGAUACAGAACGGUAAACUCCAGGUCAGAUACAGAACGGUAAACUCCAGGUCAGAUACAGAACGGUAAACUCCAGGUCAGAUACAGAACGGUAAACUCCAGGUCAGAUACAGAACGGUAAACUCCAGGUCAGAUACAGAACGGUAAACUCCAGGUCAGAUACAGAAAAGGUAAACUCCCAGUUCUGUCCAUGACCCGGUCUGCACAGCAUGCAUUCCGUUAUCUCUCUCCUU
Long non-coding RNA from Oncorhynchus keta (chum salmon), 308 nucleotides. RefSeq lists it as uncharacterized. The transcript is spliced from 3 exons. The record is from RefSeq and is a predicted model, not a curated record. Lineage: Eukaryota; Metazoa; Chordata; Actinopteri; Salmoniformes; Salmonidae.